Molecule: long non-coding RNA, 609 nt
Filed under: Olea europaea subsp. europaea
Lineage: Eukaryota; Viridiplantae; Streptophyta; Magnoliopsida; Lamiales; Oleaceae
Source: RNAcentral
UGGGUUUUCAUUAAAUUACAAAAAUCUCGAGUUCUCUAAAUUUCCCAUAUAUAAAAAAAGAAAAAGUCAAUAAACAAAAAUCUUACCGUGCAAGAUAAUUUGAUCUCAUUUAAUCGAUAUAAUCUAUCUUCAAGCUGCUUCUGCACUUCUCCUCUUUGUACAACCUUAUUAAUUUUCAUGUCCAGUAUCAAAUCCCUUUCUCUUAGCAUCUUCUCAGUCUUUUCCUUAUCUAGUCUCAGUCUCUCGAGCUUUUCUUGUAUGGCACUUAGCUCCUCUGCUAGCGAAGCAUCAAACGAUUCGACUAGAAAACACUCGGCCUUGAUAGGGGUGGCACAGUUGGAAGGAGCAAUAUUCCCCUUGUUGGAGUUGUCAUCCAGUGAGAUUUUAAUCUACUCCAGAUCUUGCUUUGGCUUUGGCUUUUCACUGGGAGCGAUUUAAGUGACCAGUGCAUUCUUGGGUUGUAAUGGUUUCCGGCCACUUUUUAGCAGUGGAACUGAUUGUUGGCCGGAGAGUGGAGAUUGAGCUGCUAAAAUUUUUUAUUUUGUUGUGGUUCAGUGGUGGGUCGUUGGGGAAGAAGAAUAAGGCUCCAUUUGAUUGGAUGAAUCUUCC